AGCGAAGGGCACGCCCCGCGCGGGUGCCAGGGAGGCCGACGGGCGCGUCCGCGGUCGCUGCUCACCUGCGCUCCCCACUGCCCGGCCCGGCCCGCCUCGCCCACCGAGUCUGGAAGCCCACACUCACCCCUUUACCCGCGAAACACGGCCGGGGCCGGCGGCGGGUCGGGAGUCCGGGAUGGUAGAUCCCCCUCCAGGCGCCUCGCUGACAUUUUGUCCCGGACGGAAAACCUCCGCGCGUGCCCCUUAAAGACACAGCGCUCCAUUCACACGUCUGCGGGGAAAGGGGGGCCGUCACGUGUGGCCUUCACCCGAAAGCGGUAGGGGAGUCGCUUUGAAACCGCCAAGGAUCGCGAGCGACAGACUUGUGUUGGCCAGGGUUUUAAGAUGACGCAAUAGCUGAGUGUGGUUGAAAUGUAACUAUUGUUUUACAACUUUGCAUUAACCUUCCAAGACCUGGAUUCCCGGGCCUGAGUCUCAAGGCGCGGUUUGCAUCCUUGCAGGCUGUAGGCGCAUGAUGUUACAAGUUAUUGGAAGAAAUCCCUCCAACCUAGGUUGGGACAGAUGAAGGCGGCGCUUAUUGGUGUCCACCAAAACACCAGCAUGGUGUACCAGCUUUGGCUAGAUUAUGCUCGGGUAACGAACAACCCCUGCAACUCAGUGGCUUAAAGGUCCAUUUCUCAAGCAAAUUACAGUGGCUGCAGGGAGCUUUGGCAGUACUCCACCAGUUUUCUUCACUCCAGGCUCCAGGCUGAAAGAUCAACUUUUCUGGGCCAUUCUCCCUGCUGGGCUGAUGGGCCUGAAUUGCAGGAAAACAAACUCAGGGAUCCCACUGAUUCUACAUUAUGAACACCAGAGACUGGGUAAUUAAUAAAAAGAAGAAAUUUAUCUGGCCUACAGUUCUGGAGCCUUGGAAGUCCGAGAUCAAGGGGCUGCAUCUGGAAAACACAGAUCCUGGUGCCGAACAUGAGGACAAGACAGGCCGAAGGAGAAAGUGGAAGGAGGGGAUCUUCUCUCUCAGCCUCAUCCUCCUGGGCCUGGAUGCUGGAGAGUCAUGAGGUGCUUCAGAGUACUCUGGGUGAGGAGGGAAAGAUGGUGCCCACCACAUGGAGGCCAGCCUAGGUCUUGUAUGAAACCCGUGAGGAGAUUCUCUCUCCCUUGCUGGCUUUGAAAAAGCAAGUUGCCAUGUGAAGAGGGCCAUAUAGCACAGGAGCUGAAGGCGGCCUCCAACUGACAGCAAGAAAAUGAGGUCCUCAAUCUGACAACCUGCAAGAAACUGAAUGCUCUAAAAGCCACAUGAGCUUGAGAGCGGAUCUGACCCCAGCCAAAUCUCUGAAGUCCACAGGCAGGAAAUGAAGAUCAGAAAAAGGCUAUUGUCUCAUGAAUAUAAGCCAGACUCCACAGAAGCUGGAGUCCUUCAUUAUGGAGCUAAACACAUACACCUGGCUUAGGAGUCAGAAAAACUGAAAGAGAAUUCAGGGAAGUAGAGAAAUUGCAAGCCCAGAUGCUGCUUCAGACCAAAGAAGCAAGUCAGCAGAUCAGCAACAAUGUGUAUCAGUUCCAAAAUGACUUACACAGGUACCAAGACAAGACAUUAUAUACACUUAUAUAGUCAAAUACUUUAAAACUGUUAACAAACUUGCUACAAUUGUCUCAUUUGUUUUUUAACCUUAAUAUCACAGAUCAAGUUUGUAAUCUCAAAAGUUCACCCUGGCUGCUGUGUGGAGUAUUCUCUUAUCUGCUCAUAUUAUGUUGUGCUUAUUCAUUCAUCAAUUAAUGGAAAUUUGGGUUGUUUCAUGAUUUUGACUAUAAUGAAUAAUGUUGCUGUAAACAUUCAUGUAGUUUUGUGUGGACGUGCUUUUCUUUCUCUUGGGUAGGUUCCUAUGAGUGGAAUCACUAGAUUGUAUGGUAAAUGUAUGUUUAACUUUUAAAGAAACUGUCAAACUGUUUUCUAACAUGAACGGGCCAUUUUACGUUCUUAUCAUCAAUAUAUGAUGGUUUCAAUUUUUCCACAUCCUCACCAACAUUUGGUAUUGUCUCUCUUUUACAUCAUAACUAUUUUAGUGGGGAUGUAGUGAUAUCUUAUCGUGGUUUUAAUUUGUGUCUCCCUAAUGACUAAUGAUAUUGUGCAUCUUUCUAUAUGCUUGUUAGCCAUUUAUGUACAUUCUUUAGUGAAAUGGCUAUUCAAAUCUUUUGCCUACUUAAAAAUCGAGUUGUUUUUCUUAUUAUUCAGUUGUAAGAGUUUUUUUUUAUUCUGUGCAAAAGUCCUUUAUCAAGUCUAGUAGUUUUGAAUAUUUUCUCAGCCUAGAGCUUGUUUUUAAACAUUUUUUUCUUAAUGAUGUUUUGAAGUGCAAAAGUUUAGUUUUGAUGAAGUCUAAUGUAUCACUUCUUCCUUUAACUGUCAUGAUUUUUGUGUCAUAUCUAAGAACUCUUUACCCAACUCAAAGUUACCAAGGUAUUUUCUUCCAGAAGUUCUGUAUUUUUAACUCUUCUAUAUAGGCAUGUGAUCCAUUUUUAAUUCAUUUUUUGCAUAUGAUGUGAGAGAAGGGCCUAAGUUCAUAUUCGUACAUGUGGAUGUGCAAUAGUUCCAGGAUCACUUGCUGAGAAAAGACUAUCUUUUCCCCAUUGAUUUUUUUGGCACCUUUGUCAAAAAUCAAUUGACCAUAAAUGCAAGGGUUUAUAUCUGAACUCUCAGUUCUUCUCCAUUCAUCUCUAAGGAUAUGUCUAUGCUUACAUCAAUAUCAAAGUGUAUUCAUGUGGCUUUGUAGUAAAUUUUGAAAUUGGGUGAUAGAAGUCUUUCAAUUUUGUUCUUAGUUUUCAAAAUAGUUUUGGCUAUACUUUGCAUUUUGAUAUAAAUUUUAGGAUCUGUGUGUGAAGUUUUACAAAAAUGCUUGCUGGAAUUUUGAUAGGAAUUGUGUUGAACCUAUAGAUCUAUUUGAGGGGGGAAUUGCCAUCUUGACAAGCUUGAGUCUUGCAAUCCAUGGACAGGGAAUGUCUCCAUUUAUUUAAAUCUUCAUUAAUUUUUCUUACUAAUGUUUCACAAUUUUUAGUGUAUAAGUCUUAAACUUUUAUUACAUUUAUUCCUGUUUAUUCUUUUUGAUGCUUUGUGAAUAUAAUUUUUUUAAUUUUAUUUUUUGGGCUUGACAUUGCUGAUAUAUACAAAUACAAAAGAUUUUUAAAAUACUGAUCUUAGAUCCUACAGCUUUGCUAAACUCUUUGAUUAGUUCUAGAUAUUUUAUGUAUAGAUUCCUUGGUGUUUUCUAUACACAAGAUUAUGCCAUCUGCAAAUAGAUGCAGUUUUAAUUCUUCCUUUACUCUUAGUCUGCUUUUAAUGAGCUAUUAUGUCUUCUGUUCUGCAUUGGUCAAACCCUCACCUGGAUCACAGUAUUUAUUACUGACCAUCACAGUUUCCUUGAGGAAAUGAAAAAAAUUAAAAAGAUAAAGUAACUAUUACCAUAAUCCCUACAUUCAGACACAGUAUUUAUGAGCAUGUGGGGUAAAUUCUUCCAGACACUCUUGCUAGAGGCUGUGUAGCAGAGCUUAUGAUGCACUGAGCCACAUCCUGCAGCCACCAGACUCCAGUGUAGCUGUGGUGAACCUUGCCUUGCACUUUACCAGUGUCCAUAUAAGCUCACAUCACAAUGUCUUUCUGUUUUGCUUUCUGGAGGUCAGGAAAGCCUGCUGAGCUAUAUGUAGACCCAACCCGUAUUUUCAAGGUAAUACUCCUUAGUUGAUAGAAGCCCUCAGUCGAUGGGAACAGGAUUUCAUGGAUUAAUGCCCCAGCUCCCCCCUCCUGCAGGAUAUAGAAUGUGUGACUAUCCAAGAUGCUUGCAAUAUGGUUUCUCAGAGUUCCCAAUGGAAUUGAAUCCCAGCUGCAUACAACUGUAACCCACUCGUUUAUUAACUUUUCUCCCUUCCUCUUUCCCUUCACUUCUGUUUCCUAAGACUACUUCCCUCUAAAUGAUUUGCACCCAAGUCCUUGUCUCAAGGUCUUCUAGAGAAACCCAAACUAAGGCAGUUUGUCAAGGGACAAACUAGGGUACAUCCUUGAAGCAGCCAUUAGGAGAGUGAGAGGUCCUGCAAUGAUGUAAUAUAAAAACGGUGAAAAUAGCUGAGAAAACUAGAAAAAGAGAAAACUUAUGGAAAUAAUCAUAGUCAUCUUUAAAUACCUGCAAAGCAAUCAGAUAUAAGAGGACCAGAGGAGACACUGGUUUUAACUGAGCACCUUCCAGGUUAUAUACUAGCUACUAUGCAAUGUGUUUAUUCCAUCCUUACAGCAACCCAGAGGCAAUGAGAACUACCCUUAUUUUUCAAAUAAGAAAACUGAGGCACAGAUGAUUAAGGAACUUGCCAAGGUUCAAAGCUAGCAGGUAUUGGAACUAGGACUGAAAUCCAAGCCUGUCUGCCCCCCAACCUGUGUCUUGCUGCUGUGUGUGUUGCUUUGAAGGGCAAAACAGAGACUAGCAGGUAGACAUUCUAAAUCCGUAGAAUUGCGUUUGUAUGAAUGCAGUGUGUGGCAGAGAUUGUCCAGAUGUUCAUCAAUGGUGUUUUCUCUGUUCUAUUUCUGGACAUAUAGGAACACUUCAUGUCCUAGCCUCCUUUAUAAGUAGAUUGGGGCCAUGUAACAGGGUUCUGGCAAAUGGGAAUGUGCAGAUGUGACAUGUGAUGCUCCUGAUUCAUUCAUUCUGUCUCUUUCUCUCUCUCCUUCUCAGCUAGCUGGAAGCAGAGAACCCAGCAGAGGAUUCUGGGAAGGUCCUGGGGGAUGGCAGAGCCAGCAGAGAGAGGGUACGGAUCCACCAGGCAUAGGGUGGAACAGAGCGCUACUGACCACAGUGAACUGGGGCAUGGGCAAUCAAUAAACAUAUAUUAGAUUAA
Molecule: long non-coding RNA, 4875 nt
Organism: Pongo pygmaeus (Bornean orangutan)
Lineage: Eukaryota; Metazoa; Chordata; Mammalia; Primates; Hominidae
Exons: 5
Source: RefSeq, a predicted model, not a curated record